CUAACCACACUGGCCAUCAUAGCCCACAUCCUGCGCUUCUUACCCCAGUGCCCUCUCUCACUCUCACUUUCUCACUCUCUCUCAGUCCCGUCUUAAACUUUACUCGUGUCGCAUCUCCACCAGUCAGUCAGUCAGUCAGUUAGCCAGUCAACCAGCCAGUAAACCAGUUAGCCAGUCAAUCAGUAAUCCGAUACGCAUGCACACAUGCACGCACGCACGCACGCACGCACGCACGCAAAGUGUUAGUUAUUACGUGUGGAAAGAGUAUUGCGUGUUUUACUACUACUUCUACUACUACUAUUACUACUACUGCCGUGAAGACAUCAACCCGACCUGAGCCGACUGCGGGAGUGACAAAUGGUUCCCUGGACGCCGUGUGUCACCGGAUUGCAGGCGAGCGUCAGGCGGACCAUGAGUCGGGACGCUGCCAAGUCCGUUGACCAGAACCUGACCAGGAAAAUUCAAGAAGCGUGGCCUUGACCUUGCUCAGCAGUUGUGCCCUCACCUGACCUACGUUAUGUUGCUCUGCGUUCAUUGUUUCUGGCAAAGUGAGUUAGUGCAGCCGUGCCUUCAGUGUGUCACCAUAAUUUGCAAGCAGUCGAUUUCCUGCUCUACUUUACCAGGUGGUAUUUGUUUUGAAAGAGAGUUGAGAAGUGGAUUAUGUCAUGCUCUCAACCUAAAUUUUAUACUUCUUUAUUCAUAACUGCAUCAACAGACCACCUGGGAAAAGUAAUGCUUUGUGCCUCUGUUUGUUUUCAUUUCACGACACGGCAGGAAGGGAGAGCACGACCACAGAGCAAAGAAUUCAAGAGAUACCUCUUUUUAUUCUGGGAAAAUAGGAUGCGUAUUUCUGGUCGUCCUUCAGAGAAGCUAAUGUUAUGCAUGCGUAUGCCAUUUAAAUUCAGCGAAGAAAUUUGAGAAAUACUUCUGGAAAAUGUUUUAACGAGCUCCUAUCGUUAAAUCUUCAUAAGAAACGUUUGCACCAUAAAAUAACGAAAUUUUAAGCCUCACAUCCAGCAUCAGAGACCAUAAGAGCAACAGCAAGGUGUAUUCGAGGAACAGUGUUAAGAUGUGUAUAAACAAAGUAAAAAGAUGUGUAUAAACAAAGUAAAACAAAGUUAAGAUGUGUAUAAACAAA
Scylla paramamosain (green mud crab) is the source of this 1138-nucleotide long non-coding RNA. RefSeq lists it as uncharacterized. Lineage: Eukaryota; Metazoa; Arthropoda; Malacostraca; Decapoda; Portunidae. The record is from RefSeq and is a predicted model, not a curated record. The transcript has 3 exons.